UGGUAAUGCCGGAUGCUCCAUCACACCGCAUGGUGUGUUGGGAAAGCCUUUGCGGCAUGGGAUGGGGUCGCGUCCUAUCAGCUUGAUGGCGGGGUAACGGCCCACCAUGGCUUCGACGGGUAGCCGGCCUGAGAGGGCGACCGGCCACAUUGGGACUGAGAUACGGCCCAGACUCCUACGGGAGGCAGCAGUGGGGAAUAUUGCACAAUGGGCGCAAGCCUGAUGCAGCGACGCCGCGUGAGGGAUGGAGGCCUUCGGGUUGUAAACCUCUUUUAUCAGGGAGCAAGGCUUCGGUUGAGUGUACCUGUUGAAUAAGCACCGGCUAACUACGUGCCAGCAGCCGCGGUAAUACGUAGGGUGCAAGCGUUAUCCGGAAUUAUUGGGCGUAAAGGGCUCGUAGGCGGUUCGUCGCGUCCGGUGUGAAAGUCCAUCGCUUAACGGUGGAUCCGCGCCGGGUACGGGCGGGCUUGAGUGCGGUAGGGGAGACUGGAAUUCCCGGUGUAACGGUGGAAUGUGUAGAUAUC
This 524-nucleotide ribosomal RNA is filed under the name Bifidobacterium breve. RNAcentral describes it as "bacterial SSU rRNA". It matches the Rfam family "Bacterial small subunit ribosomal RNA", at positions 161 to 698 of the family's 1533-position model. Lineage: Bacteria; Bacillati; Actinomycetota; Actinomycetes; Bifidobacteriales; Bifidobacteriaceae. The record is from RNAcentral.